This 774-nucleotide ribosomal RNA is filed under the name uncultured Neocallimastigales. Its description in RNAcentral is "partial large subunit ribosomal RNA". It matches the Rfam family "Eukaryotic large subunit ribosomal RNA", at positions 23 to 634 of the family's 3401-position model. The record is from RNAcentral. Lineage: Eukaryota; Fungi; Neocallimastigomycota; Neocallimastigomycetes; Neocallimastigales.
AGAGAGAGACAUGCGCGCAUAUCAAUAAGCGGAGGAAAAGAAACUAACAAGGAUUCCCUUAGUAACGGCGAGUGAAGCGGGAAGAGCUCAAAUUUGAAAUCUUCAAGGUUUUACCUUGACGAAUUGUAGUUUAAAGAAGUGUUUUCUGCUGAAGUUUUGGUAAAAGUUCUUUGGAAUAGGACAUCAUAGAGGGUGAGAAUCCCGUAUUUGACCAUUAUUUUCAGCUUUGUGAUACACUUUCAAAGAGUCGGAUUGUUUGGGAAUGCAGUCCAAAAUGGGUGGUAAAUUUCAUCUAAAGCUAAAGUAUUGGCGAGAGACCGAUAGCGAACAAGUACCGUGAGGGAAAGAUGAAAAGAACUUUGAAAAGAGAGUUAAACAGUACGUGAAAUUGUCAAAAGGGAAGCGUUUGACACCAGUGUUGUUUUCUCGAAAAUCAAUUAAAAAUGGCUCGAUUUUGUAUUGUUGAGACCUUAAAAGCUCACUGUACAUUUUUCGUGUCUUUUUAAUGCACUUUUCGUUUAACAAGUCAACAUCAGUUUCUUUUGUUGUAAAAGGGUCAUUGGAAGGUGGCUUUCUUUUCGGAGAAAGUGUUUAUAGCCUUUGGCCUCUGCAAUCGGAGAGACUGAGGUCUGCAGCGUAGACUCUUCGGGGUUAGAUACAUUUGUGCUAAGUUAUAGCUUUUUAUAGACAACUUGUUGACUAUAAUUAGUCUUGUAGCUUACUCGCUUAUGCUAUUUUACCUACGCUUAGGAUGUUGAGUCGUAGAGCACGCAG